AUGGGUAGAGCUAAUGCUAAUCCUAUUUGGAGCAAGAUAUGGAAGCUAUCUUGUCCGGCAAAGGUAAAAUUUUUCGUCUGGCGUACAUUGCAUGGUACCCUCCCAUGCCGAGUUACGCUUGCCAAUAGACACGUGAAAGUCUCGCCCAGAUGCCCAUCAUGUUCUAAUGGGCCAGAAGACACAAAACACGUCUUGUUUCUGUGUCAGAAGGCAAAACAGGUCUGGGCUAAGUUAGGUUUGCAUGAAGUGAUCAAUACAGCUUGUGCUAUCGACCGGGCGGGAGAGGCAGUUCUUGAAUUUUUACUACUUAUGCGAGAUCAAGAAAUAUCUGAAUUGGGCAUCCAGAACGCAUGUGAAUUGAUCGCAAUAACAACUUGGUAUUUAUGGUGGGAUAGACGCAGACUAGUUCAUGAAGGAAAGUCUCAAGAUGCAUAUCAAACUUCGAUGGCGGCUCGUGCUAUAACCGCAAACUAUGUCAAAGCAAACUCCCCUAAGGCAAUCAGUAAAACAGGGGGAUGGCUUAGACCUCCUAUGGUUUUUGUGAAGCUAAAUGUUGAUGCUUAUUUUGACCAUGAUCUGCUUAGAGGAACGGCGGGGGUAGUCCUCAGAGAUGACAAAGGAAGGUUCAUUGUAGGCGGAAGCUGGAGGAUCGACUGGUGUGCUGAUGUACUAACAUCAGAAGCAAUGGCGCUAAGGUUUGGCCUUAUCCUAGCACAGAAGGCGGGGUGUAAUCGCCUUAUUGUCAACUCGGAUAAUUUGGAAGUGAUUGACACAAUGAAAAAUGGAGGACAAUCAGCAAGAGUGGCGGCGGCAGUGUUCGAUGAUUGCUAUUUUAUGUCUUGUGAAUGUACUGUUACGAGGUUUGAACAUUGUAAUAGGGAAGCAAAUAAGGUUGCUCAUGAAAUUGCUAGGCUAGCGAAUUUUUUUUGUAACUAG
RNAcentral lists this ribosomal RNA (936 nucleotides) under Triticum aestivum (bread wheat). Its description in RNAcentral is "partial small subunit ribosomal RNA". Lineage: Eukaryota; Viridiplantae; Streptophyta; Magnoliopsida; Poales; Poaceae. The record is from RNAcentral.